Corapipo altera (White-ruffed manakin) is the source of this 1652-nucleotide long non-coding RNA. RefSeq lists it as uncharacterized. The record is from RefSeq and is a predicted model, not a curated record. The transcript has 3 exons. Lineage: Eukaryota; Metazoa; Chordata; Aves; Passeriformes; Pipridae.
UUGGGAGAGGUUUCUACCUGGAAUUUUGGGAGAGGUUUCCAACUGGAAUUUUGGGAGCAGUUUCUACCCAGAAUUCUGGGAGUGGUUUCCACCUGGAAUUUCAGGAGAGGUUUCCAGCUGGAAUUUUGGGAUAAGUUUCCCCCUGGAAUUUUGUGAGAGGUUUCCAGUUGGAAUUUUGGGAGAGGUUUCCACCCAGAAUUUUGGGAGAUGUUUCCCCCUGGAAUUUUGGGAGAGGUUUCCCCCUGGAAUUUUGGGAGAGGUUUCCAACUGGAAUUCUGGGAGAGGUUUCCACCUGGAAUUUUGGAAGGGACUUCCAGCUGGAAUUUUGGGAGAGGUUUCCAGCUGGAAUUUUGGAAGAGGUUUCCACCCAGAUUUUGGGAGAGGUUUCCACCCGGAAUCGGGAGAAGUUUCCACCUGGAAUUGUGGGAGAGGUUUCCAGCUGGAAUUUUGGGAGAGGUUUCCACCUGGAAUUUCGGGAGAAGUUUCCCCCUGGAAUUUUAGGAGAGGUUUCCAGCUGGAAUUUUGGGAGCGGUUGGAGGGGAGGGAGGUGCUGCAGGAAAAGGGGGCUGGGGUGGAUCCAUGGAAUGCUUUGGGAGCCCUUUGGAGCCGGGUUUGUCGCUCCAAUCCCUGUGGAUGCUCCUGCCCAUUCCCAGGGACGGGAGGGGACGCUCCUGGAGCAAACCUGACCCCGUGGGAUGAUCCCUACGGAAGAUCACUGCGACCUCCUGGCCCCCAAAUCCCGGGAUUCGGGUGGAAACGAGCCCGGCUUUGGGAGACACGGCUCAUUCCAACCUCCACUCGAGCUCUGACCCCUCCAAGCUCUCCCAGGCCUGGAUUUGCUGCCGCUGGAAUGUCCCCCCUGGAAUGUGCAGCCACAGGGAGGGUUGUGAUGAGUCCCAAGGCUGCUCCCUUGGCUCUGGAAUUCUGGGAUCACCGGCUGGGCUUCCCAAGCCCGGCCCUGGGGCCGGUUGGGGGGGAUUUGGUCGGAGACCCCCAGGAAGGGGGGGUGGAAAUUCCGUGGGUUUGGCUCCACUGGGGAUCCACUUCCAGCAGGAAAAGGAGCUUCCCUUGGCCCACCUGCUCUUCCCAUUCCCAUCCCAGACUCCCCAGAUAACCAGGAGAGCUGGAUCAGGCCCUGGAAUUUCCCUUUGGGAAAGGCUGAGUUGCCGUGGGGGGAUUUGCUGGAAUCCUGGAAUGCUUUGGGUUGGAAAAGGCACAACUCGAGGCUCUUCCCUUUCCCUUCCCUUUGUUUUCCCCCUUUCUCUGCUCUUUCCUCCUCCUUUUUCCCUUCAGCUUUUCCAUCACUUUGCAUCCAGAGCUCUCCAAACCCUGCCGUCCUGGGAGGAGUGGGAGUUCCAGGCUUUCCCAAAUCCAAGCCCUUUCUCCCUCUUUAUCCUCAGAACAGCGUGAAAGAAAAAUUCCUCUGCUCUCCUACCUCCAUGUCGGGACCUCUCGAAGGUUUUCCCUGGAAAAACAUCAUCCCAUGCUUAUGAAAAACAUGGAUCCAGGGCACUUGGAGUGGAUGGAGGAGGCAGAAACUUCUUUAUCCCCCUUUGGAGCAGAUCUGAGGUUGUUCCUCUGCCCGAGGCAAACAAAGGCAAAUCAGAUUUGGUGGAAAACGGGGAAAAAAUAACCCCCAGGACAAGCAGGAG